Cucumis sativus (cucumber) is the source of this 122-nucleotide non-coding RNA. Lineage: Eukaryota; Viridiplantae; Streptophyta; Magnoliopsida; Cucurbitales; Cucurbitaceae. The record is from Rfam.
GUGUUUGAUUAUAGGAGCGAUGGUUGGCAUCUCCCCUGAUAGGGUCAGGAACUGCCUUUGGGCUUCCCUUUUAACACAUACGAUUAAAUGUGCAAGCAAGUGCAAUGCCAACAUCUAUUUUC